This 600-nucleotide ribosomal RNA is filed under the name uncultured bacterium. RNAcentral's name for it is "bacterial SSU rRNA". It matches the Rfam family "Bacterial small subunit ribosomal RNA", at positions 275 to 892 of the family's 1533-position model. The record is from RNAcentral.
GACGAUCGGUAGCUGGUCUGAGAGGAUGAUCAGCCAGACUGGGACUGCGAACGGCCCAGACUCCUACGGGAGGCAGCAGUUAGGAAUUUUGGGCAAUGGGCGAAAGCCUGACCCAGCAACGCCGCGUGGGUGAUGAAGGCCCUCGGGUCGUAAAGCCCUUUUCCCAGGGAAGAUAGUGACGGUACCUGGGGAAUCAGCCCCGGCUAACUACGUGCCAGCAGCCGCGGUAAUACGUAGGGGGCAAGCGUUGUCCGGAUUUAUUGGGCGUAAAGCGCUCGCAGGUGGUUCGUCGCGUCGUGCGUGAAAGACCCCGGCUCAACUGGGGAGGGUCGUGCGAUACGGGCGAACUGGAGGCCAGUAGGGGGAUGCGGAAUUCCGGGUGUAGUGGUGGAAUGCGUAGAGAUCCGGAGGAACACCAGCGGCGAAGGCGGCAUCCUGGACUGGUCCUGACACUCAGGAGCGAAAGCGUGGGGAGCGAUCCGGAUUAGAUACCCGGGUAGUCCACGCUGUAAACGAUGAGUACUAGGUGUCGGGGGUAUCGACCCCCUCGGUGCCGCAGCUAACGCGAUAAGUACUCCGCCUGGGGACUACGGCCGCAAG